This 433-nucleotide ribosomal RNA is filed under the name uncultured bacterium. Its description in RNAcentral is "partial 16S ribosomal RNA". It matches the Rfam family "Bacterial small subunit ribosomal RNA", at positions 29 to 507 of the family's 1533-position model. The record is from RNAcentral.
AACGAACGCUGGCGGCAUGCCUAACACAUGCAAGUCGAACGAGACCUUCGGGUCUAGUGGCGCACGGGUGCGUAACGCGUGGGAACCUGCCCUUAGGUUCGGAAUAACUCCCCGAAAGGGGUGCUAAUACCGGAUAAUGUCUUCGGACCAAAGAUUUAUCGCCUUUGGAUGAGCCCGCGUUGGAUUAGCUAGUUGGUAGGGUAAAAGCCUACCAAGGCGACGAUCCAUAGCUGGUCUGAGAGGAUGAUCAGCCACACUGGGACUGAGACACGGCCCAGACUCCUACGGGAGGCAGCAGUGGGGAAUAUUGGACAAUGGGCGAAAGCCUGAUCCAGCAAUGCCGCGUGAGUGAUGAAGGCCUUAGGGUUGUAAAGCUCUUUUACCCGGGAUGAUAAUGACAGUACCGGGAGAAUAAGCGCCGGCUAACUCCGUG